This is a non-coding RNA of Arachis ipaensis, 189 nucleotides long. NCBI's taxonomy places the organism in Eukaryota, Viridiplantae, Streptophyta, Magnoliopsida, Fabales, Fabaceae. The record is from RefSeq and is a predicted model, not a curated record.
UAGCUGUGUUGGUAAGGAAUGAUAUAAGACAAUAACAAGAACGUAGAGUAAGAACGUUGUAAAGAAGAUGAAGAAUAAAAAACUAGUGAGUCACUUUAUAUGCAGAGUAUAAAUGUUAGUGCAGAAAACAAAUGUAUUUGGGGAAAUACAGAAUAACGUUGUGACAGAGAGAAACAGUUACCUGUUGAA